GACGAACGCUGGCGGCGUGCCUAACACAUGCAAGUCGAGCGGGGAUUUAAGUGGAAGUUCUUCGGAAUGGAGAUUUAAAUUCUAGCGGCGGACGGGUGAGUAACGCGUGAACAAUCUGUCCCGGACAGGGGGAUAACACUUGGAAACAGGUGCUAAUACCGCAUAAGACCACGGCCUCGCAUGGGGCUGAGGUAAAAGGAGCAAUCCGGUUCGGGGUGAGUUCGCGUCCGAUUAGCUAGUUGGUGAGGUAACGGCCCACCAAGGCGACGAUCGGUAGCCGGCCUGAGAGGGUGAACGGCCACAUUGGAACUGAGAGACGGUCCAAGCUCCUACGGGGGGCAGCAGUGGGGAAUAUUGGGCAAUGGGCGAGAGCCUGACCCAGCAACGCCGCGUGAGGGAAGAAGGUUUUCGGAAUGUAAACCUCUGUCCUAUGGGACGAAGGAAGUGACGGUACCAUAGGAGGAAGCCCCGGCUAACUACGUG
RNAcentral lists this ribosomal RNA (483 nucleotides) under uncultured bacterium. RNAcentral's name for it is "partial 16S ribosomal RNA". It matches the Rfam family "Bacterial small subunit ribosomal RNA", at positions 28 to 507 of the family's 1533-position model. The record is from RNAcentral.